This 1758-nucleotide long non-coding RNA is filed under the name Canis lupus familiaris (dog). Its description in RNAcentral is "lncRNA (ENSCAFG00845029729.1)". The record is from RNAcentral. Lineage: Eukaryota; Metazoa; Chordata; Mammalia; Carnivora; Canidae.
AUGUCCUCACAUCUGGCCGCCCUCCUCCAGAAGGUGUGGCCAAUUGUCUGGGUGGGGUUGCCUUCCCUGGCUUCCAGGGGUGGGGGGCACGACUUGGGGAGUCUCCCUGAGGGGACGCCCCUGCCGCCCUCACCCUCAUCAGAGGAGGUGUCCAGGUGUCAGCGGAAGCCCAGCGGGGGCCUGCACUUGGCACUGCCUGCAAGCUCUUGGGGACACGCUGAACCAGACCGUCUCCCCGAGGGCCCUGUCCCCUCUGGGUCUGCAAGGCCUGCCCACACCGGGGCCCCUCUGAAGCGCCCCCAACGUCCCCACCUGACCACUCUGCCCUGCCCUCGAAGGAAGAACGGGGCGCAGCUGAAGAUCACCCCUCCAAGGUCAGAAGUCACACGUCCCUGGGGCCCCGCACAGGCCCCCGCGCUCCCGGACCCAGAGGGAGGCUCUCUGGGGGUCUGUUUUCCCGGGAGAACUUCACCUAAUAGGUUCGGGGAAGGGUGGGCCCUAAUUUGCUGCGCCUUUACAAGCCGUGCUUCCCAAUCUCCCGAGAAUGCAGCUAAGUGGGCUUUCCUGCCGGGCCCCUUCCUUCCGUGCGCCCAUCAGAGGGGCCCGAAGGCUGCUCCCGGGCGCAGACCCACCGGAGCCGGCCAGGUGCAGGCUGCGGGGCGGGUCCCGGGCCCAGGCGGCGGCCGCGGCGUCUUACCGGCGGCCCGGAGGGCGGCCCCGCGAGGCUGUGCCCGGGGCCUGCGGGCGGCUGGUUCGCGUUCCCGGGGCGCGGCUCUCGGCGGGCGCGGCGGGGCUCCGGGGCAGGGGAGCCGAGGCCCGGGGCGGCGGCGGCCAGCAGGGCGGCCCAGGCGAGCAGCAGGCGGGCCCCGGCGGGGCGGCGGGCGCGGGCCAUGCGGGCGGCGGGCGCGGGAUGCGGGACGCGGGGCGCGGGCGCGGGGCGGGCGUGGGAGCCGCUGGGCUCCCUCCGCGCCUUAUAACGCGCUCGAAUCCCCCGCCUCGCCCGCCGCCGCUCGGCCCCGCGCCCCCUGGCGGCCCCGGUGCGCGCUCGCGGUCGCUGGGCGGGGUGUGCGCGGGGGCGGGGGGGGACGUGUCCGCCUCUGCCCGUGUGCGCGCGUGUGUGCGUGUGUGCAAACGUGUCUGCCUCUGCCCGUGUGCGUGUGUGCCCCUGUGUGCGCGUGCAAACGCGUCUGCCUCUGUGCCCGUGUGCUCGUGUGUGCGCGCGCGUGUGUGUGCCUGGGUAUGUGGGGGGGGGAGGCGCGGCCGCGAGGCGGGGCUGCGGGCCGGGUGCAGGGCGGGCGCGGGGCGGGGGUGCGGGUGCGGGUUCGAGGAGGGACCACGGGGCGAACUGGGGCGCGGGAGGCAAGGGCUGGGGGCCGGUGGCGUUGGCCGGAGCGCCCCGUCCUGCGGAGGGGCCUGCGCACCGCGUCCAGCUCUUCCCCGGAGAGCCUGGACCCCCCCUGCCCUCUUGACACCCCUUCCUCUAGGGGGAGCCGGUGGCCUCGGUCCUCUGAGCCCGGGGGCAUCCCUUCUCCCCCCGUGGGGUCUGCUCUGCCGCCUGGGGGGACCAUGAGGCUUAUCCUGGUGGCACCUGUGAGGUCCAGGUGUGGGCAACACAGGUUUAUGUGGUUUUUUAACAGAUUUUACUUAUUUAUUCAUGAGGGACUCAGAGAGGCAGAGAAACAGGCAGAGGGAGACACAGGCUCCACGCAGGGAGCCCGACGCAGGACUCGAUCCUGGGACCCCGGGGUCAUGCCCUGA